UACGUAGGGGGCAAGCGUUGUCCGGAUUUAUUGGGCGUAAAGAGCGUGUAGGCGGCCAUACAGGUCCGUUGUGAAAACUGGAGGCUUAACCUCCAGACGUCGAUGGAAACCGUAUGGCUAGAGUCCGGAAGAGGAGAGUGGAAUUCCUGGUGUAGCGGUGAAAUGCGCAGAUAUCAGGAGGAACACCGAUGGCGAAGGCAGGUCUCUGGGCAUUAACUGACGCUGAGGAGCGAAAGCAUGGGGAGCGAACAGG
RNAcentral lists this ribosomal RNA (253 nucleotides) under uncultured bacterium. Its description in RNAcentral is "partial 16S ribosomal RNA". It matches the Rfam family "Bacterial small subunit ribosomal RNA", at positions 524 to 776 of the family's 1533-position model. The record is from RNAcentral.